This 252-nucleotide ribosomal RNA is filed under the name uncultured prokaryote. Its description in RNAcentral is "partial 16S ribosomal RNA". It matches the Rfam family "Bacterial small subunit ribosomal RNA", at positions 355 to 598 of the family's 1533-position model. The record is from RNAcentral.
UGGGGAAUCUUCCGCAAUGGGCGAAAGCCUGACGGAGCAACGCCGCGUGAAUGAAGAAGGCCUUCGGGUCGUAAAGUUCUGUCUUUAGGGAAGAAGUCUCUUUAUGUGAAUAAUGUAGAGAGGUGACGGUACCUGAGGAGGAAGCUCCGGCUAACUACGUGCCCGCAGCCGCGGUAAUACGUAGGGAGCAAGCGUUGUCCGGAAUUACUGGGCGUAAAGGGUGCGUAGGCGGGAUAGUAAGUUAGGGGUGAA